This 898-nucleotide long non-coding RNA is filed under the name Salmo salar (Atlantic salmon). Its description in RNAcentral is "lncRNA (ENSSSAG00000118340.1)". The record is from RNAcentral. Lineage: Eukaryota; Metazoa; Chordata; Actinopteri; Salmoniformes; Salmonidae.
GAGGAGGAUGAAGGGUAACAUGAGGAGGAUGAAGGUAACAUGAGGAGGAUGAAGGUAACAUGAGGAGGAUGAAGGGGAACAUGAGGAGGAUGAAGGAUAACAUGAGGAGGAUGAAGGGGGACAUGAGGAGGAUGAAGGUAACAUGAGGAGGAUGAAGGGGAACUUGAGGAGGAUGAAGGUAACAUGAGGAGGAUGAAGGUAACAUGAGGAGGAUGAAGGGGAACAUGAGGAGGAUGAAGGUAACAUGAGGAGGAUGAAGGUAACAUGAGGAGGAUGAAGGUAACAUGAGGAAGAUGAAGGGUAACAUGAGGAGGAUGAAGGGGAACAUGAGGAGGAUGAAGGGGGACAUGAGGAGGAUGAAGGUAACAUGAGGAGGAUGAAGGUAACAUGAGGAGGAUGAAGGGGAACAUGAGGAGGAUGAAGGUAACAUGAGGAGGAUGAAGGUAACAUGAGGAGGAUGAAGGGGAACAUGAGGAGGAUGAAGGUAACAUGAGGAGGAUGAAGGGGGACAUGAGGAGGAUGAAGGUAACAUGAGGAGGAUGAAGGGUAACAUGAGGAGGAUGAAGGUAACAUGAGGAGGAUGAAGGGGAACAUGAGGAGGAUGAAGGGUAACAUGAGGAGGAUGAAGGUAACAUGUGGAGGAUGAAGGGGAACAUGAGGAGGAUGAAGGUAACAUGAGGAGGAUAAAGGGGAACAUUAGGAGGAUGAAGGUAACAUGAGGAGGAUGAAGGGGAACAUGAGGAGGAUGAAGGUAACAUGAGGAGGAUGAAGGGAAACUUGAGGAGGAUGAAGGUAGCAUGAGGAGGAUGAAGGUAACAUGAGGAGGAUGAAGGUAACAUGAGGAGGAUGAAGGGGGACGUGAGGAGGAUGAAGGUAACAUGAGGAGGAUGAAGGUAAC